CCUACGGGAUGCAGCAGUGGGGGAUAUUGCACAAUGGGGGAAACCCUGAUGCAGCGACGCCGCGUGUGGGAAGACGGUCCUCUGGAUUGUAAACCACUGUUCCCAGGGACGAAGAUGACGGUACCUGGGGAGGAAGCUCCGGCUAACUACGUGCCAGUAGCCGCGGUAAUACGUAGGAAGCGAGCGUUGUCCGGAAUUACGGGGGGUAAAGGGAGCGUAGGCGGUGAUGCAAGUUGGGGGGAAAAACUACCGGCUCAACUGGUAGUCGCACUCAAAACUGCAGCUCUUGAGUGAAGUAGAGGCAGGCGGAAUGCGGAGUGUAGCGGUGAAAUGCGGAGAUAUUGGGAGGAACUCCGGUGGCGAAGGCGGCCUGCUGGGCUGUAACUGACGCUGAGGCACGAAAGUGUGGGGAGCAAACAGGAUUAGAUACCCCUGUAGUC
Molecule: ribosomal RNA, 440 nt
Filed under: uncultured bacterium
Lineage: Bacteria
Description: partial 16S ribosomal RNA
Rfam family: Bacterial small subunit ribosomal RNA
Source: RNAcentral